GAAGCUGGCUAGGCAGUCGCUGCCAUUUUUUCAAUAAUGAAAGACUGGGAGAGGAAAGUCCGGGCUCCAAAGAGCAGGAUGCCGGUUAAUGACCGGCCGCCGUGAGGUGAGGAAUAGGGCCACAGAGACGAGCGUAUUAAGUUGCGGUGAAACGCGGUAACCUCCAUCCGGAGCAAGACCAAAUAGGCAGAUUUUGACGUUGCUCGCCGAGUCUGCGGGUAGGUUGCUUGAGUGCAUGAGUAAUUGUGUGCCUAGAGGAAUGGCUGUCCAAGACAGAACCCGGCUUAUAGGCCAGCUUCAUUU
Molecule: RNase P RNA, 303 nt
Filed under: Nitrosomonadaceae bacterium
Lineage: Bacteria; Pseudomonadati; Pseudomonadota; Betaproteobacteria; Nitrosomonadales; Nitrosomonadaceae
Description: RNase P RNA component class A
Rfam family: Bacterial RNase P class A
About the family: Ribonuclease P (RNase P) is a ubiquitous endoribonuclease, found in archaea, bacteria and eukarya as well as chloroplasts and mitochondria. Its best characterised activity is the generation of mature 5'-ends of tRNAs by cleaving the 5'-leader elements of precursor-tRNAs. Cellular RNase Ps are ribonucleoproteins.
Source: RNAcentral